AUUGAACGCUGGCGGCAGGCCUAACACAUGCAAGUCGAGCGGAUGAAGGGAGCUUGCUCCUGGAUUCCGCGGCGGACGGGUGAGUAAUGCCUAGGAAUCUGCCUGGUAUUGGGGGAUAACGUCCGGAAACGGGCGCUAAUACCGCAUACGUCCUGAGGCAGAAAGUGGGUGAUCUUCGGACCUCACGCUAUCAGAUGAGCCUAGGUCGGAUUAGCUAGUUGGUGGGGUAAAGGCCUACCAAGGCGACGAUCCGUAACUGGUCUGAGAGGCUGAUCAGUCACACUGGAACUGAGACACGGUCCAGACUCCUACGGGAGGCAGCAGUGGGGAAUAUUGGACAAUGGGCGAAAGCCUGAUCCAGCCAUGCCGCGUGUGUGAAGAAGGUCUUCGGAUUGUAAAGCACUUUAAGUUGGGAGGAAGGGCAGUAAGUUAAUACCUUGCUGUUUUGACGUUACCAACAGAAUAAGCACCGGCUAACUUCGUG
Molecule: ribosomal RNA, 484 nt
Filed under: uncultured bacterium
Lineage: Bacteria
Description: partial 16S ribosomal RNA
Rfam family: Bacterial small subunit ribosomal RNA
Source: RNAcentral